AUUCUGGGAAGGCGUAUGUGUCAGCCUGAAGGUUCCGGUAAAGAAGACUGAGGAAAACUCUGACCUGAAGGACCUAGAGAGCCGGCUCCUAAUCAGAAGAGCAGAGUCUCCCAUGUACUGGGCUGAUAGCAUUGGCUAUACAUUGGAACCUUCUACUUGAAUCAGGCAGUGCCUCAUUCUGUGAAACGGAGUAAGUGUCCUGAUGAGCUAAGCAGAGGAGGGCGGCUUUACAGGCAGACAGGACGCAAACGGGAACACGGAAUGAAAAGCAGUCUGGCCAUUUCAGAGAUGGGGGUCUCACUCUGUCACCCAGGCUGGAGCACAGCGGAACAAUCAUAGUGCACUGCAGCCUUCAACUCCUGAACUCAAGUGAUCCUCCUGCCUCAGCUUCCUGAGUAGCUGGGACUAUAGGCUAGAGUGUAGUGGCUCAAUCUCGGCUCACUGCAACCUCCACCUCAAGUGAUAUUCCUGGGUUUAAGUGAUACUCCUGCCUCAGCCUCCUGAGUAGCUGAGAUUACAGGUGCCGGCCACCACACCCAGGUAAUUUUUAUACUUUUAACAGAGAUGGAGUUCCACCGUGUUGGCCAGGCUGGUCUUGAACUCCUGACCUCGAGUGAUCCACUGG
Callithrix jacchus (white-tufted-ear marmoset) is the source of this 625-nucleotide long non-coding RNA. RefSeq lists it as uncharacterized. The record is from RefSeq and is a predicted model, not a curated record. Lineage: Eukaryota; Metazoa; Chordata; Mammalia; Primates; Cebidae.